RNAcentral lists this long non-coding RNA (639 nucleotides) under Brassica napus (rape). RNAcentral's name for it is "long non-coding RNA (BNAP_LNC001437)". The record is from RNAcentral. Lineage: Eukaryota; Viridiplantae; Streptophyta; Magnoliopsida; Brassicales; Brassicaceae.
ACAAUUCCGCGCAUCUGCGCGGGUCAGUAUCUAGUUUUGUGGUUAUUUUGUGGUUAUAAACAUAACCGCUUGUAUUUGAACAAAAAAAAAACAUAACCGCUUGUCUUAUAUAUAAAAGAAAGAUAAUAACGAUAUGAUUAGGUUAAUAAGAAAAAGUCAAUAAAACAUGUAAGAUGGCAACUUUUAAUAUAUGUUAUUAUGAAUUUUUUUUUGUUUUUUUAAUGAAUUAAAAUUGUAUCUACCUAAAGAAAAAGCUUUAAAAAGUCUCAUCAUCAAAAUGAACAGAUGUGUAUCCCCCACCACCAGCCAAGCAAUGACCGCAAGACACACCAGGGCCGUGCCCAUGUGUAGGCAAAUGCCUCAGGCCUCCGAGAAGGGGCGGGUGUACUUGCAUUUCGUAUGGGUGAUAGUGUGCGUACCCUCACUUGAAAAUUAUAAAAGAGAAUUAUUUUUGUAAGUUUUGGGUUUAAAUUCAUGUAUUGUCCCCAGUUCCGUUUUGCCUCCAUAUCUAAUGUUUUGCGUGGAUAAACUACUCUCUCUACUUUAUGUAUUUGAUGUUUAGAGUUAAUACAUACAAAUUAAUAAUAUGCAAUUUUUUUAUAAUUUAUCUUGAUGAUGUAAAAAUAUUAUAAAACCAUA